CCGGCUCCGCAGGGCUAAAGUGCUGACAGUGCAGGUAGCUAGCGUCUGGUUGCUACUGCAGUGUGGGGGCUUGCAGCUCUGGGGGGCCACUG
Chrysemys picta bellii (western painted turtle) is the source of this 92-nucleotide microRNA precursor. The record is from Ensembl. NCBI's taxonomy places the organism in Eukaryota, Metazoa, Chordata, Testudines, Emydidae.